GGGUGAUUGGCAUAGCGGUUGUGCAACUGGCUUUUAACCAGCACCACAGAGGUUCAAUUUCUCUAUCACCCA
RNAcentral lists this transfer RNA (72 nucleotides) under Calothrix sp. 336/3. It matches the Rfam family "tRNA". Rfam says of the family: Transfer RNA (tRNA) molecules are approximately 80 nucleotides in length. The record is from Rfam by way of RNAcentral. Lineage: Bacteria; Bacillati; Cyanobacteriota; Cyanophyceae; Nostocales; Calotrichaceae.